Molecule: long non-coding RNA, 1339 nt
Organism: Priapulus caudatus
Lineage: Eukaryota; Metazoa; Priapulida; Priapulimorpha; Priapulimorphida; Priapulidae
Exons: 2
Source: RefSeq, a predicted model, not a curated record
CAAUGGAUCACCACGUUGCCGUCGUGUGGGGGCUUGCGUACUCCUGUGAUUCUAAGGUCGAGGUCAGCAAUGGUCUAACAAUGCUGAACCGGCCAAAGAAGAGGAGUCAGACUAAGAGUGAUCCAAACCCUGCACCUACUUAUUAUUACUUUAUGAUUUUGUAUCAUUCUGUAUUGUUCCAGAUAAAGCAGACGAGCUCCAGCUAGCUUCGUCGAAGGAUCGUACUACACACACUCUAAGACCGGUAUCAAAGGUUGCAGGUAUAUGUCGUUGAAUUGUACUGUUUUGUACGGGUAACGGUAAUUGACACGGGUAAGAUCGUAUGUCUACAGGUGUCAUACACAACAGCGACGGCAGCAGCAGCGCCAGCAUCAGAUGACAGACUCACACCGGAGAUGAUUGUGGAGCUAAUAUUGUGGAGCGUUGAGUGGAGACCCGCACUGAUGGCCUGUAGUUUGGUAAGAUAUGCAGCCUCACCUCGUGCAGAAGAGAGAGAAAGAGAGGACUACUGUACUACUGGACUCCCGAUCUAGUGUAAGUGGUGCUUCUUCUUGCUAGCGUUAUAUAAUAAACUACUACUACUAGAACACUAACAUUCUAACAUACUAACUACUAACUACUUUUACAUUCUACGUAUUGCUCCAUGUGAUUUGGCUUCGUUGUUUGCUGCUCUUCUGUUCAAUGUUUCCAGAGUGAUCGAGUCAUCCCAGUCAUCCUGGCCUUGCCCGGGCAAGGGGUGGUGGUGGGUCAAGUCAACGAGGUGGUGGGUGAGCGGGGUGAGUAUUAUACAUACUUGUAUUAUACAUAUUCUUACGCAUAUACAUUACGUAUAUAUUAUACAUACGUUUUCUGGGACAGGUACUACCACACAUUGUAAUGUUUUUGUUCAAUUUUUUUCCCUCGACAUGAGCGACACAUGGCACUACCACUCGGGGAGAUAGCAGAGGCAAGACAGAUGGGCGGAUAGACAAGCAGACGAGAUUCCAGCAUCCAUCCACUAUCGUCUGUCCUCGGGAGAGAACGGGUGAGUCGUAAACAACAUUGUACUGCCAUACAUGUAAUGUGCUUCGUUUAUUUUUUUCCAUGUUGUGCAUUGAGCCACACACGGCACUACCACUCGGGGAGAGAGCAGAGACAAGACGGAUGGGCGGAUAGACAAGCAGACGAUUUGUACACUUCAAUAUUGAUUCAUUGAUUUAUUGUGAACUUUAUUGAAUUCUGUAAACUUCAAUAUUAAUUCAUUGAUUUAUUGUGAACUUUAUUGAAUUCUUGUACACUUAAUUGUGAAUCUUGCAAAGUUGUGAAUAUAGGGCUAUUUAUUUAGCCACGUAAUGAUUUA